UACGUAGGGGGCAAGCGUUAUCCGGAUUUACUGGGUGUAAAGGGAGCGUAGACGGCCAGACAAGUCAGAAGUGAAAGCCCAGGGCUCAACCCUGGGACUGCUUUUGAAACUGCCGGGCUGGAGUGCAGGAGAGGUAAGCGGAAUUCCUAGUGUAGCGGUGAAAUGCGUAGAUAUUAGGAGGAACACCAGUGGCGAAGGCGGCUUACUGGACUGUAACUGACGUUGAGGCUCGAAAGCGUGGGGAUCGAACAGG
Molecule: ribosomal RNA, 253 nt
Filed under: uncultured bacterium
Lineage: Bacteria
Description: partial 16S ribosomal RNA
Rfam family: Bacterial small subunit ribosomal RNA
Source: RNAcentral